Non-coding RNA from Sturnus vulgaris (Common starling), 232 nucleotides. Lineage: Eukaryota; Metazoa; Chordata; Aves; Passeriformes; Sturnidae. The record is from RefSeq and is a predicted model, not a curated record.
GGGAUUCCUUGGAUCCAGCCCUGGAGGAAUCCGUGGCUCAGGUGAAGGCUCUCAUGGCCAGUCUCUCAGGGGAGCUCCAGGCCUGGGAUCAGCUCCUGCAGCAGCACCUGCAGCACUCCCAGGAGGCCUCCAGGAAUUUGGAGCAGCUCCGAGCCGGGAACCCCCCCUGGACCCCUCCAGAAAUUCCCAAAUCCCAAAUUUUGGACUCCAAACCCGACUAUGGACAAAUCCU